UUCCUCGGUGCUUGGAGGUCAGGUUGGGACUGCCUGGAUUUGAGCACCGUGUCCUAUUUGUGAAGAGAGCAAAGCCAUGCCCAGUCUGAAUAAUUUGAUUCUGGCUAUACGAGCAUGCAGGACCACUACUUUAUGGUAUAUUGACAUUUUCAUUACUUUUAUUUCACCCCCAUUUUCACGAGGACGCAGAAGUUGCAUAAACUGGAUGAAAUGUGCUUAUAGAGUAAUUUGAGUGUAAAUAUUUGUAAUUAUUUAACAUGUCUUAAAAACAAUAACAUGCAUUUUCAUUACUUUUAUUCCCACCCCCAUUUCUAGUGUAACACUUCUGUUUAUAUUUAUUUAUUACAUCUAGUUUACCUGUUUUAUAUUGCUUUAUAACUGUGUGUGUUUUACAUGUUAUAUGUGUUAUCAGCCUCGUUUAGUCUUGUCAAGUAUUUGUUUUAAAGCACUGACAAAGAAGAAGUGGCAAACUGUGAAUCUCGUUGUAUUUAAUACAAUGACAAUAAAGCGUUCUAUUCCAUUCUAUUCCAUUCCAUUCUAUUCCAUUCCAUUCUAUUCCAUUCUAUUCUAUUCCAUUCCAUUCUAUUUACAGGAGAAGACGCAGAAGUUGCAUAAACUGGGCGAAAUGGGCUUAUAGAGUAAUUUGAGUAUAAAUAUUUUAAUUUAUUUAACAUGUCUUAAAAUAAAACAACAUGCAUCAAUAAACUCCUUUUGGAGUUUUAUUUAAAAAAAAAAGGGCCAGAAAUAAGGAUGACUUCUGCUGCUGUGAGGAUGAUUUAAUUGGUUUAAUUUGGAGCUGGAGGUUGGACAUUUAAAAAAAACCAAACAGUUUUAGGGGUUUAAUUCAUUCUUUAUUAGGUGUUUUUGUUGUCCCAAAAUAUACUAAGUGUGCGUGUGUGUGGUAUAAAUGUAUUGUUCUGGGCGGGGCAGUGAUCAGUGAUAGGAUGGAGGGCGGGGACACAUUGGAUUAAACAAACUGAAAGACAACGAUUGUUGUUUUUUUUACACAAACGAAUGAGAUUUUGUUAAAAAAAAAAAAAAAAAAAAGCAUCCCACGCCGUUAAAAACCUCUUUACUCAAACAUAUUUUCAUUUAUCUUGAUGCUCUAUAUAUAAUUUAAUCACGCAAACCGUUUGUCUGCUUUUUAUAUAUUAAUAUAGGUUUCCAUUUAGAUAAUUUGUCUCUCCAUUAAACGCUCAUUUGAAACAGGUAUUAUUCCCUAAAACCGCAUUUCUCUUUUCUCUGUCUCUUGAAUUAGUCCAAAAAUCUACUUUACCUGCAGGAGACUUGAUUAGAUGAGAACAGCA
Sebastes umbrosus (honeycomb rockfish) is the source of this 1307-nucleotide long non-coding RNA. RefSeq lists it as uncharacterized. The transcript has 2 exons. The record is from RefSeq and is a predicted model, not a curated record. NCBI's taxonomy places the organism in Eukaryota, Metazoa, Chordata, Actinopteri, Perciformes, Sebastidae.